This 484-nucleotide unclassified non-coding RNA is filed under the name Hevea brasiliensis (rubber tree). The record is from RNAcentral. Lineage: Eukaryota; Viridiplantae; Streptophyta; Magnoliopsida; Malpighiales; Euphorbiaceae.
AACUCCCACGACCAUGCGUCAAUUCUCGUCCCACGACCAUGCGUCAGUUCUCGUUUAUAUAUAUAUAUAUAUUUGCAGAAUUUACACGAGGUGCGGAUUAGGUGCGGAUGAACAGUUAUAUAUAUAUAUAAGUUAUUUUAUUUUAUUAUUAUUUAAUAUUUUUCUUUUAUAUUUUGGAUAUGUAGGAGAUUCAAAUAUUCAUUCUGUCAGCUGAAAUUGUCUCUCUUUUAUUGAAUCUAGCUAUUAUUUUGGAGGUUUCAGGUGAGUGGUAAUUAUAGUACAUGGCACCAUUUUUGUCCCUUUUAAAAUUUCUUAGCAUUAAACUUGUUAUUAAAUGAAAUUUUAAAUCAAUAUUUUAACAAUGAUUUUAUAUGUGAUUUUCUAGAGUUUUAUUUUAUUAUUGAAUUUUAUUUCGAUUUUGAUUAAAUAAUUGAUUUUGUCAACUAUCUCUGCAUUAGACCCAUUAGGAUUCCGGGAACAGGCC